UACCAGCUCUCCGAGUGGUGUGGAUGUUUAUUGGGCCUAAAGCAUCCGUAGCUGGCUGGGCAAGUCCCCUGUUAAAUCCACCGAUUUAAUCGUUGGAGUGCGGGGGAUACUGCUCGGCUAGGGGGCGGGAGAGGCAGACGGUAUUUUCGGGGUAGGGGUGAAAUCCUAUAAUCCCGAGAAGACCACCAGUGGCGAAGGCUGUCUGCUAGAACGUGCCCGACGGUGAGGGAUGAAAGCUGGGGGAGCGAACCGGAUUAGAUACCCGGGUAGUCUCAGCUGUAAACGAUGCAGGCUAGGUGUUUGGACGGCCACGUGCCGUUCUAGUGCCGCAGGGAAGCCGUUAAGCCUGCCGCCUGGGGAGUACGGCCGCAAGGCUAGAAACUUAAAGGGAUUGGGCGGGGGAGCACCACGAAGGGGUGAAGCUUGCGGUUU
This 432-nucleotide ribosomal RNA is filed under the name uncultured archaeon. RNAcentral's name for it is "bacterial SSU rRNA". It matches the Rfam family "Archaeal small subunit ribosomal RNA", at positions 474 to 903 of the family's 1478-position model. The record is from RNAcentral.